CUCUUUGGAGUCCUUAAAUGAAAUCACUGGCCACUAAGAAAAAAAUUAUUUGAAUGCUUUAUAUUGCAUAAUAUAAACAUUUAUGUCAGAUUGACUUUUGAAAGCUUUAUCAGCAAACUGUUAAAUUUAAGGUGAUUUAAGAAGAGGAAGUCUGUGACCAUAGCCGAAAACAAAUCAAACCAAGCAAAUGAAACGGAAUGUAUAAGUACAUGUAAUUGUGGCCCCGAAACUAAAAAAUAAAAAAAAACUCAAAUAAGAAUGGUUACAAACGUACAUUUAAUAUAAUAUGAAUGCAUUUGAAAAAAAACUAAAACGAAAAAGGAGAUUACGAAAAAUUUCUGAGAAGUUGGUAAACGCUUGCCUUUUCGGCACUAUAACCUUGGCAUUAGCUGAAAUAACAGUAACAAUUCUGCUGCUUGUUCUCUAAGGAAUUUAGAAGAAAUAUUUGAAAAGUAUGUCGCAAAGACGGAAGGAGUUUUUCAAGCGAGCACUCGAUUUUAUUGGAGAUAUGCUUAUAUGGGCUUCGCUUAUUGUCGGCACAUACUUUGUAAUUGCAUUUUAAUGCAAUAAAUAAAGCAGUUAGAUGAUAAACUUUUUCAUUGAAA
Long non-coding RNA from Danaus plexippus (monarch butterfly), 605 nucleotides. RefSeq lists it as uncharacterized. The record is from RefSeq and is a predicted model, not a curated record. The transcript is spliced from 2 exons. NCBI's taxonomy places the organism in Eukaryota, Metazoa, Arthropoda, Insecta, Lepidoptera, Nymphalidae.